AUUGAACGCUGGCGGCAGGCCUAACACAUGCAAGUCGAGCGGAUGAAGGGAGCUUGCUCCUGGAUUCAGCGGCGGACGGGUGAGUAAUGCCUAGGAAUCUGCCUGGUAGUGGGGGAUAACGUCCGGAAACGGGCGCUAAUACCGCAUACGUCCUGAGGGAGAAAGUGGGGGAUCUUCGGACCUCACGCUAUCAGAUGAGCCUAGGUCGGAUUAGCUAGUUGGUGGGGUAAAGGCCUACCAAGGCGACGAUCCGUAACUGGUCUGAGAGGAUGAUCAGUCACACUGGAACUGAGACACGGUCCAGACUCCUACGGGAGGCAGCAGUGGGGAAUAUUGGGCAAUGGGCGAAAGCCUGAUCCAGCCAUGCCGCGUGUGUGAAGAAGGUCUUCGGAUUGUAAAGCACUUUAAGUUGGGAGGAAGGGCAGUAAGUUAAUACCUUGCUGUUUUGACGUUACCAACAGAAUAAGCAACGGCUAACUACGUG
This 484-nucleotide ribosomal RNA is filed under the name uncultured bacterium. RNAcentral's name for it is "partial 16S ribosomal RNA". It matches the Rfam family "Bacterial small subunit ribosomal RNA", at positions 30 to 507 of the family's 1533-position model. The record is from RNAcentral.